Molecule: non-coding RNA, 681 nt
Organism: Oncorhynchus mykiss (rainbow trout)
Lineage: Eukaryota; Metazoa; Chordata; Actinopteri; Salmoniformes; Salmonidae
Source: RefSeq, a predicted model, not a curated record
GUCCCCUGGAUAUUGCGCACAGCGCGUGGGAUCGAGAUUAUUUUUUACAAUCCUUUCUUUCUUAUCCCUUCCCUUCCUUUCCUUUCAACUGCACAGUGGAACAAGACGUAGAUAUAUUCGUUUUUUCUUGGAUUGUAUAGGUUACUGGUUUUCAACUCUGUUAUUUUCAAUUGAUAAAGUUGUAGUCUAUUGAAACGUCAGUAAAAUUUUGAAUGCCAAUAUUAUACUACGUAAAUGAUAAGACUUUUUUAAUCAUUUCUACCGUUGCCAAAUCGCCCUUUGGAUAAAAAUGAGCACUUGAUGGAAAUUGGACUAUAAGGAAAUGAAUAAUCUUGAUAUCUUCGAUUUGAAGGAUUGUCAGUGAGCGGCCCUCCUAUAUAAGAUGGUUCCCAGUGUGUGUGGUGUGUCCCUGGCUGUGGUGUUGCUGACCCUGGUGUCUCCUGGUGGUGCCUGCCCUCUGCCCUGCUCUUGCUACCAGUCCACUGAACUACACUGCACCUUCAGAUCUCUGGUCAACAUACCACAGCCCCUACCACAACACACACUACACAUCAACCUGGGGUUCAACAGUAUCAGCAGGAUCCCAGACAGCUCAUUGGCCGGUCUGAGGAGGCUGGCGCUGCUGAUGCUUCAUGGGAAUGACAUCCAUGAGAUUCCUGACGGAGCUUUCCAAGAUCUGUC